GACACUCGAUGGAGUUCUCACUACAAGACUCUUAAGAGUUUGACUGAUAUGUUCCCUACAAUUGUCAAAGUGCUAGAAUAUGUGGAAGAAGAAGACAUGGAUGAUACAAAUAGAAGGCAAGCAUGUGGUCUUAUUGUUUAUUCCCAGUCUUUUGAUUUUGUGUUCUACUUGCAGCUUAUGCCCACUAUAUUGAUAAUCACAAACACAUUAUCAUUGGCUCUACAAUGGAAGAAUCAAGACAUCGUGAAUGCCAUUAAUUGUGUGAAUUCAACCAAAUCCUCUUCGAAUGAUCUAAGGAGAGAUGGAUGGGAUUCUGUCCUACAUGAAGCAUAUGUCUUUUGUGACAAGCAUGACAUUUCCAAGUUGGAAACGGAAGACCAAUAUGUGAAUCCAAACAAGCCAUGG
Molecule: ribosomal RNA, 405 nt
Filed under: Triticum aestivum (bread wheat)
Lineage: Eukaryota; Viridiplantae; Streptophyta; Magnoliopsida; Poales; Poaceae
Description: partial small subunit ribosomal RNA
Source: RNAcentral